AGAAAAUAUAGAGAAAGGAAAAUGUUAUUAAGAAAACCAUAAUGAAGAGAAAAUAUAUUUACUAUUAAUUAAGUGGAGGUAAAUCAUCAAAAAGAUCUCCAUCCUCAUCUUCACAUUGAGUAUUCUGAAGAGGAGGAGAAAAGGGAAAUGUUGACGGUGCUGUCUCAGGGAUGACAGAGGUGGAAAAGGUAGAGGAGGUGGAAGGGGAGGCAGCAGAGACAGAUACAAUAGGUAUAACUUUUAUUGACAAGAAAUAUUUAAAAUACUGCAGGAGUUUUGUCUUUUUUUUAAGAUGGCAGAUUGGAGACUGUUAGUAUGCCUCUCCCACUUAAAAAGACAAAAUACUGUGUAGAGAUUCAUGCUGUGAACUUUUUCCAAGAAGUAAGGCAGGAACUUAACAGGAGAACUAAAAACACCUACAGACCCGUUGAAGGAAGCAGUGGGCUGCAGCCUACAUUGUGAGCCAGGCAGAAAACUGUUAAGUCCUCAGAGUGUUAGAUGGGGAUAAACUGCCUCCAAGAUACAUACUCCCACUGGGGAACCUAGCAAUCAGGGCCAGGAAGGAAGGCCUUAACCCUACACAGUGCUGCAACUGAUUUAGUGGGCACUGGCAAAUACAUGAGAAGGAGCGGCAUUGGAUCAUGCUUUGAGAAUUCCCAGUUUCCAGCAGGGACAGAAAGAAGCCAUCCAUGAUCCUUUUUCACAGGGUACCUCAUGGAAAUUGGUCAGCUAAUUCAGGUGGUGGUUGCAGGUUGAGAGAAGCUCCCAUCAUUGGUGCUUUAAUCUCAAGUGGGGAUGAACUCCCUUGGCCAGAACCAAGAGGCCAGUGGGAAGUGUGCUAUAGACAUGGGUGCAGGAGCUGGGCACCACUGCUUCAUGGGCAGACUGGGAGGGGCAUGGCCUGAAAGCCAUGGUUUCUUUCUCAAUAGGAAAGGCUUGAAUUCUGAGUGCAGACUACCCAGAACUUAGCUAGUGCUGAUAGUGGAACACUGUAGGUGUGAAACCUGCCUUGCCAGGUAUAUGAGAACUGGGUAGGGCUUACUGCUGCCUGCUACUCCCCACUCCCUUAGCAGACUCUUCUGGGCAGCAGAGGCAGCUGCACUUCUCCCUGGAACAUUACCCCAGGAACCAGAGAACUGCCUUCUGAUUCCCCCUGGGAUGGCUUCUUGCACCCACAUGUGGAGAACCAGAGCACAGACUUAACCUGACCCAGCCGACACCUGGCUUUGCUCUUCCACCCAUCCUAAUGGCUUAACACAAAGGACAGAAACUUUUGUGAGGUCUAUGGCACCACUCAUUACCUGAGACAGUAGGGUAACUUUCCUGGGUAACACCUGAGACAUCAGAGUACCCCCAGUGGGUAAAUAACAUAAGACAAGCACAAAUCCACCACUACCACCACAGCUGGUGCUCUUUUGCAAAUGUCACCCCCUGGCUAGAGACCACCUGACAAAGUCCAUAACAGUAUCUGCAGGCAGAAUAACACAGCACCCAGGAAAGAGAAAACUUGUGCAUAACCUCAGCCAUUAGCAUUGACUGCAUCACCCUGGCUAACCAAGAGAUCCUGAGUAUGUUCACAUGACUAGUUCACUACUACUACAGCUGGCAUUUGAGAAAGCCAACACAGUAAGCCUAUUUAUAUCUAAGAAAUCUCACAGAAUCUAUAUCAUUCACCUGCCACCACAUCAGAACUGGUGCUAAUACCUGCUGCUGGGAGAACUGAGGACAUGUCAUGUCCCUAGAUUCCUUGCAGACAUUUCCCACUACCAUUCUGGAGUGUGGCAGCCUCACUGGGCAGCUAGACCCAAAGGAGCAGUAUUCACAGUAGUCUGGCCCUGAGUGACUCCUACUGCUAGGGGAAGAGGGAGUGUACAACAUUAAGGGAGCAUCUUGUGGGACAAAAUAAUCCAGAUGGCAGGUCUUGAGUAAUAAACUUUCCACAUGGUGGGAAAUUUCUUUCAGCAGAGGCACUGAAAGAAAUUUCAGAAGGUGCAGCGCUGGGCUCAGUGAGAAAAGUCUGCCACUCUACCCCAACAGGCAGCCUGGAUGCCCAUGAAAGAUCUUGGAGAUGGAGACUUCUCCCCUUUGCCUACUACUACAGACACAGCUGAGGCUUCUCCCAUGGGAACUUAGCAUGAGUGUAUCUGUAGACUGCUUUCUGGGAUAUUUCAGGGUAACGGCUUUUCCACAGAAGGAGCAUCCUUCAAGUUCAGGCUUGUAUGAGAGGUAGAAUGAUAGUUCCUUUCUACUUGGAAUAUCAAAAAUCCUGCAGAUAAAAAGAGGUGCCUAUCUGAUCUGAAUAGCUGAAACACUGGGGUUCUGGUAUGGGAGUUAGGUAGCUUUCCUGCUGGCCUGGCAGAGAAGCUGAACUGGUUCCCUCCUUUCCUGCCGAAAAGACCACAAUUUCACUGAGAGUUCUCCCAGCUACCUUUGUCAAGGCUGUGAUCUCUCCCCACCAUGGGGUAUUGCAUUUACCCACAUGUUUAGCUACAUCUGGUUUUUACCCCCAGACAAAUCCCCUACUGACCUGAAGCCUGAACUUUUCAACUCAGUAAAUAAAAUAUUAGG
Sapajus apella (tufted capuchin) is the source of this 2568-nucleotide long non-coding RNA. RefSeq lists it as uncharacterized. The transcript is spliced from 2 exons. The record is from RefSeq and is a predicted model, not a curated record. Lineage: Eukaryota; Metazoa; Chordata; Mammalia; Primates; Cebidae.